RNAcentral lists this ribosomal RNA (560 nucleotides) under uncultured bacterium. Its description in RNAcentral is "partial 16S ribosomal RNA". It matches the Rfam family "Bacterial small subunit ribosomal RNA", at positions 355 to 907 of the family's 1533-position model. The record is from RNAcentral.
UGGGGAAUUUUGGACAAUGGGCGAAAGCCUGAUCCAGCAAUGCCGCGUGUGUGAAGAAGGCCUUCGGGUUGUAAAGCACUUUUGUCCGGAAAGAAAUCCUUGGCUCUAAUACAGUCGGGGGAUGACGGUACCGGAAGAAUAAGCACCGGCUAACUACGUGCCAGCAGCCGCGGUAAUACGUAGGGUGCAAGCGUUAAUCGGAAUUACUGGGCGUAAAGCGUGCGCAGGCGGUUUGCUAAGACCGAUGUGAAAUCCCCGGGCUCAACCUGGGAACUGCAUUGGUGACUGGCAGGCUAGAGUAUGGCAGAGGGGGGUAGAAUUCCACGUGUAGCAGUGAAAUGCGUAGAGAUGUGGAGGAAUACCGAUGGCGAAGGCAGCCCCCUGGGCCAAUACUGACGCCCAUGCACGAAAGCGUGGGGAGCAAACAGGAUUAGAUACCCUGGUAGUCCACGCCCUAAACGAUGUCAACUAGUUGUUGGGGAUUCAUUUCCUUAGUAACGUGAGCUAACGCGUGAAGUUGACCGCCUGGGGAGUACGGUCGCAAGAUUAAAACUUAAAUG